This 465-nucleotide ribosomal RNA is filed under the name Vreelandella stevensii. RNAcentral's name for it is "partial 16S ribosomal RNA". It matches the Rfam family "Bacterial small subunit ribosomal RNA", at positions 338 to 795 of the family's 1533-position model. The record is from RNAcentral. Lineage: Bacteria; Pseudomonadati; Pseudomonadota; Gammaproteobacteria; Oceanospirillales; Halomonadaceae.
CCUACGGGAGGCUGCAGUGGGGAAUAUUGGACAAUGGGGGGAACCCUGAUCCAGCCAUGCCGCGUGUGUGAAGAAGGCCCUCGGGUUGUAAAGCACUUUCAGUGAGGAAGAACGCCUGGUGGUUAAUACCCAUCAGGAAAGACAUCACUCACAGAAGAAGCACCGGCUAACUCCGUGCCAGCAGCCGCGGUAAUACGGAGGGUGCGAGCGUUAAUCGGAAUUACUGGGCGUAAAGCGCGCGUAGGUGGCUUGAUAAGCCGGUUGUGAAAGCCCCGGGCUCAACCUGGGAACGGCAUCCGGAACUGUCAAGCUAGAGUGCAGGAGAGGAAGGUAGAAUUCCCGGUGUAGCGGUGAAAUGCGUAGAGAUCGGGAGGAAUACCAGUGGCGAAGGCGGCCUUCUGGACUGACACUGACACUGAGGUGCGAAAGCGUGGGUAUCAAACAGGAUUAGAUACCCGGGUAGUC